CAUCAAUCGCAUCGGCGCUCGAAUAUUUACAGGGAGAUCCUCGCCCGAGCCAAGAGCCGGAUGAGAUAAUUGAAGUCGUUAACAAAUAUGGCGAAGCGCUUCAGAGAUUCUUGCUAUUCCUCCUGGCAAUUUUCCAUUUUCUGAAAUCGCUGGUUGUAGCUGUUCUUCGAGGUGCGAAGAAAUUUCUUUGGUGGCCUGAAUCAACAAACUCUAAUCAGAGAAGGAACUUCGAAGAGAGUGGAAAGAAAAUUGCCCAAAGCCUUGAACUUCGUUCUCCCAAUUCAUUCAGCCACCCGAUCCAAGUGCUGGAUCAGGAAGCUGUUUUGACUAGAUUCUACUGCAAUUCUGACAAAGAUGGCGAUGGAAAACUCUCCCGACAAGAGCUUAAGGAAUGCUUAAGAUCAUUAUGUGACUUGCACAAGUACCAUGAGCAUGACCAGGUCGACAAGUUCUUAGAGAUCGAUGGGGAUGGGAAGAUCGAAAUUUCCCAAAUUGUGAAAGAAUCGGAGAACGUACCGUUUCUUCAAGCUGCAAAGAGAGCUAUCCUCGAGAAAGCACUCGAUUGCAUGAUAGUGGAAGGUAGGAGUGUUCAGAUCAAGGAUCAUGUUGUUAUAAAUAUAAAUCAACCAGACAAAGUUUUGCCUUCAACGUCAAAGGGAAAAAACUUCAACAUUUUAAAGGCAAGAGGCCCAUGCGUGGGUGUAUUAGGUCAGGCAGUUCCAUUCAUUGCUGUGGCACGCUCAUCUGCCUCACCCUCGGUACUAUAUGUUAUUGUGGUUGCUACUGCAGUGGCGUUUCUAUUCCUCGGACUUAGCUUCUGGUUUGAAGGCAGAAAGAAUGAGAGUGCCGCGAGAAUCACAGGCGCAAUAGGAGCUCUUACCACAGCUGCCGUGUUUUAUCUCAUGAUAAGCAUGGUCAUCCUCGGUGCGAAUUAGUUCUCAUCCUCGGCGUGCAUUAGUUCUUUCUUGUUAACUAUGUUUCGAUUUUCCAAAAUUAGGAUUUAAAUCGAUGGGAAAUUCACGUGCCUUGGAUCUAUCAAUAUAUGAUGGACAGGCAAGAAAAAUCCUAAAUCGAUUAUGUUGAAAAUAUUAUUCUAUACAUCACAAAAUUUCAGAUUCCUUAGAGGAACGAAAAAAUGAGUGAUGAAUAAUAGACCGAGUGCACUAUAAUUUACCUAUGUUUUUUUUUUUU
This 1191-nucleotide unclassified non-coding RNA is filed under the name Hevea brasiliensis (rubber tree). Lineage: Eukaryota; Viridiplantae; Streptophyta; Magnoliopsida; Malpighiales; Euphorbiaceae. The record is from RNAcentral.